AUCGAUGAAGAACGCAGCGAAAUGCGAUAAGUAAUGUGAAUUGCAGAAUUCAGUGAAUCAUCGAAUCUUUGAACGCACCUUGCGCUCCUUGGUAUUCCGAGGAGCAUGCCUGUUUGAGUGUCAUUAAAUUCUCAACCUUAUUAGCUUUGGCUUGAUAAUGGUUUGGAUUUGGGGGUCUUUUGCUGGCUUUCACAAGUCAGCUCCCCUUAAAUGUAUUAGCUGGUGCCCUCUGGUUAACCAUCUAUUGGUGUGAUAAUUAUCUACGCCGUGGAUGUUAGCCGCUUUGUAGGUGCACUGCUUCUAACCGUCUGUUCAUUCGGACAAAUAUAUGACAUUUUGACCUCAAAUCAGGUAGGAUUACCCGCUGAACUUAAGCAUAUCAAUAAGCGGAGGAAAAGAAACUAACAAGGAUUCCCCUAGUAACUGCGAGUGAAGCGGGAAAAGCUCAAAUUUAAAAUCUGGCGGUCUCUGGCCGUCCGAGUUGUAAUCUAGAGAAGUGUUAUCCGUGCUGGACCGUGUACAAGUCUCCUGGAAUGGAGCGUCAUAGAGGGUGAGAAUCCCGUCUUUGACACGGACUGCCAGUGCUUUGUGAUGCGCUCUCAAAGAGUCGAGUUGUUUGGGAAUGCAGCUCAAAAUGGGUGGUAAAUUCCAUCUAAAGCUAAAUAUUGGCGAGAGACCGAUAGCGAACAAGUACCGUGAGGGAAAGAUGAAAAGAACUUUGGAAAGAGAGUUAAACAGUACGUGAAAUUGUUGAAAGGGAAACGCUUGAAGUCAGUCGCGUUAGUUGGGGAUCAACCUUGCUUUUGCUGGGUGUACUUUCCAAUUGACGGGUCAGCAUCAAUUUUGACCGUUGGAUAAAGUCUAGGGGAAUGUGGCAUCUUCGGAUGUGUUAUAGCCCUUGGUCGCAUACAACGAUUGGGAUUGAGGAACUCAGCACGCCGCAAGGCCGAGAAUUUAUUCUACGUUCGUGCUUAGGAUGCUGGCAUAAUGGCUUUAAUCGACCCGUCUUGAAACACGG
Molecule: ribosomal RNA, 1018 nt
Filed under: uncultured fungus
Lineage: Eukaryota; Fungi
Description: eukaryotic LSU rRNA
Rfam family: Eukaryotic large subunit ribosomal RNA (bases 338-1018)
Source: RNAcentral